RNAcentral lists this ribosomal RNA (252 nucleotides) under uncultured bacterium. RNAcentral describes it as "partial 16S ribosomal RNA". It matches the Rfam family "Bacterial small subunit ribosomal RNA", at positions 524 to 776 of the family's 1533-position model. The record is from RNAcentral.
UACGGAGGAUGCGAGCGUUAUCCGGAUUUAUCGGGUUUAAAGGGUGCGUAGGCGGACUGUCAAGUCAGCGGUAAAAUUGAGAGGCUCAACCUCUUCCCGCCGUUGAAACUGGUGGUCUUGAGUGGAUGAGAAGUACGCGGAAUGCGUGGUGUAGCGGUGAAAUGCAUAGAUAUCACGCAGAACUCCGAUUGCGAAGGCUGCGUACCGGCAUCCAACUGACGCUGAGGCACGAAAGCGUGGGGAUCAAACAGG